This 420-nucleotide ribosomal RNA is filed under the name Sphodrolestes vittaticollis. Its description in RNAcentral is "partial 28S ribosomal RNA". It matches the Rfam family "Eukaryotic large subunit ribosomal RNA", at positions 664 to 979 of the family's 3401-position model. Lineage: Eukaryota; Metazoa; Arthropoda; Insecta; Hemiptera; Reduviidae. The record is from RNAcentral.
GACCAAGGAGUUUAUUGUGUACGCGAGUCAUUGGGUGAAUAAAACUCAAAGGGGAAAUGAAAGUAAAGAGUUGAGCAUAAUUUAAAAAUAAAUUAAUUUUUUUUUUUUUAUUAUAGUUCCUAAUCAGGAACAUAGAAAUUGCUUUAAUAAUAAUUGUACUUGUUAUAAUUCUUUUUUAAUGCCAAUUUAUUGCACUCCCAGGGCGCUUGUUUAACGCUUGCGUGCCAGUGCGCACGUGGAGCGUACGAGAUGAUACCUGAAAGAUGGUGAAAUAGGCCAGGCCGGGAGGAAGCCGGGGGAAACCGGGAAGGAGGUCCGCAGCGAUUAAGACGUGCAAAUCGAUAAUCGGAGCGGGGUACCGGGGCGAAAGGCCGAAAGAACCAUCUAGUAGCUGGUUCCCUGGGACCUUUCCAUCAGGCC